RNAcentral lists this ribosomal RNA (350 nucleotides) under uncultured bacterium. RNAcentral's name for it is "bacterial SSU rRNA". It matches the Rfam family "Bacterial small subunit ribosomal RNA", at positions 355 to 697 of the family's 1533-position model. The record is from RNAcentral.
UGGGGAAUAUUGGACAAUGGGGGCAACCCUGAUCCAGCCAUGCCGCGUGUGUGAAGAAGGCUUUCGGGUUGUAAAGCACUUUAAGCAGUGAGGAAGGGGUGUAAGUUAAUAACUUGCAUCAUUGACGUUAGCUGCAGAAUAAGCACCGGCUAACUCCGCGCCAGCAGCCGCGGUAAUACGGAGGGUGCGAGCGUUAAUCGGAAUUACUGGGCGUAAAGGGCGCGUAGGUGGAUAAUUUAGUCAGAUGUGAAAGACCUGGGCUCAACCUGGGAACUGCAUUUGAUACUGGUUAUCUAGAGUACAGUAGAGGGUGGCGGAAUUUCCUGUGUAGCGGUGGAAUGCGUAGAUAU